AAAUAAGAGUAAAUAACAUAUAGAUUUCUAAUCUAUAGACAAGUACAAACUUAUACUCUUAUUUG
Molecule: transfer RNA, 65 nt
Filed under: Proasellus cavaticus
Lineage: Eukaryota; Metazoa; Arthropoda; Malacostraca; Isopoda; Asellidae
Description: transfert RNA-S1(AGA)
Source: RNAcentral